RNAcentral lists this ribosomal RNA (253 nucleotides) under uncultured bacterium. RNAcentral describes it as "partial 16S ribosomal RNA". It matches the Rfam family "Bacterial small subunit ribosomal RNA", at positions 524 to 776 of the family's 1533-position model. The record is from RNAcentral.
UACGUAGGGUGCAAGCGUUGUCCGGAAUUAUUGGGCGUAAAGAGCUCGUAGGCGGUUUGUCGCGUCUGCUGUGAAAACUCGGGGCUUAACCCCGGGCCUGCAGUGGGUACGGGCAGACUAGAGUGCGGUAGGGGAGACUGGAAUUCCUGGUGUAGUGGUGAAAUGCGUAGAGAUCGGGAGGAACACCCGUGGCGAAGGCGGCUCACUGGGCCGGUCCUGACGCUGAGACGCGAAGGCGUGGGGAGCGAACGGG